GACGAACGCUGGCGGCGUGCUUAACACAUGCAAGUCGAACGGAAAGGCCCUGCUUUUGUGGGGUGCUCGAGUGGCGAACGGGUGAGUAACACGUGAGUAACCUGCCCUUGACUUUGGGAUAACUUCAGGAAACUGGGGCUAAUACCGGAUAGGAGCUCCUGCUGCAUGGUGGGGGUUGGAAAGUUUCGGCGGUUGGGGAUGGACUCGCGGCUUAUCAGCUUGUUGGUGGGGUAGUGGCUUACCAAGGCUUUGACGGGUAGCCGGCCUGAGAGGGUGACCGGCCACAUUGGGACUGAGAUACGGCCCAGACUCCUACGGGAGGCAGCAGUGGGGAAGAUUGCACAAUGGGCGGAAGCCUGAUGCAGCAACGCCGCGUGCGGGAUGACGGCCUUCGGGUUGAAAACCGCUUUCGCCUGUGACGAAGCGUGAGUGACGGUAAUGGGUAAAGAAGCGCCGGCUAACUACGUGC
Molecule: ribosomal RNA, 469 nt
Filed under: uncultured bacterium
Lineage: Bacteria
Description: partial 16S ribosomal RNA
Rfam family: Bacterial small subunit ribosomal RNA
Source: RNAcentral